This is a long non-coding RNA of Hyla sarda, 2081 nucleotides long. RefSeq lists it as uncharacterized. The transcript has 3 exons. Lineage: Eukaryota; Metazoa; Chordata; Amphibia; Anura; Hylidae. The record is from RefSeq and is a predicted model, not a curated record.
UACAAUCUGUGCCAGUCAUCUCUAGGGUUUCUGCUUUUUUACCUCAUUCUGGAGACACUAUCCCAACAGUUUGCUAUGGCCGCAUUUCAACUUACUUCCUAUACCAGAACCAUUAUAAUGUGUAGUUACCUAAUACUCCUAUGUAGUUAUGUUAUCAUAACAGGGAAAGUGCCCGAAUCCUGUCACGAGGAAUGGCUGCUAAUGAAGACUAUGAGCACAAGGGCAUGAUACUGGUAUAUAUAGAUUAAAUAGAUUAGAUAGAUAGAUAGAAAAUAGAUAAAUAGAUAGGAUAUAGAUAGAUAGAUUGAUAGAAAAUAGAUAAAUAGAUAGGAUAUAGAUAGAUAGAGGAUAGAUAGAUUGAUAGAAAAUAGAUAGAUGAAUAGAUAGGAUAUAGAUAGAUAUGAGAUAAAUGAUAGAUAGAAAAUAGAUAGAUGAUAGAUAUGUGAUAGAUAGAUAAAAUAGAAAGAUUAUAUGCACAGAACUUUAUUCAGGACAGCUAAGCGGUCUCCAGGCUGACCCUCCUGCUGACACCUCUCGCCCUUCUGUGUAGGUCAGCAGUGAAGGAGUUAAUUCUCCUGGCCCUGACAAGACUCCUCCUAGUGUCCGCAGCGGCCUCCCCGGGUAACCCCGUCUAAUGAUCCUUUAACCCUCCAUUACCCCCGCUCCGCCGGUAAUAAGGCCGCCUCAUUGUCAUUCUUAUUUUCCCAUUAACCCCUCACAUUUAUGCUUAUUAAUUUCUAGUCCAUUUGCAGUUGAUGCCCCUGUACAAUCCUGUAAGGGAGGCCGAGAAGUAAGGAGAAGGAGGAGGCCGGGGACAGGGGGCUCUGUGCUGGGAAUCCUUCAUGCCACACAGCCACGGCUGAUCUAUUAUUAUUAUUAUUACUUCUGCUACUACCAUGAGGAUUUUUGCUAUAAUGACUUGCUCGAUAUAUUGAAGAGGUGGAUCCAUAGCACAACGGUAAUAAUACAUCAAGUAUGAUAAGUGUACAAGUUGCUUCCAGCGCAGACAUGAUAAAACAUGGCAGGCCAAGACAGUCAAGAAGAAUUCUUUGGGCCACAAUUCAUCUCCACAGAACCUUCCAGACAAAUAUCUAAGGCUCUGCACUUUUCUAGCACCUACCUCCCCCCUCUUCUCCACAUACAGGAUCCCAAACAGUAAAAAUUCUGCUGUUUAUCAUCAUGCACUGUAAAGUGGAUAGGUAAGUGGGUUGAUAAGGAUUGGAAGUUGGUUAGGUAGGUAGAUAGGUUGCUUCAAUAGGUAGUUUUUUCCUCUAGGUAGGUGUCCUCUGUAUGUAGUUGCCCAGUAUGUAAUUCCUCAGGUAGGGAUUUUACCCCUGUAGGUAAUUUCCCCCUCUAAGUAGGACCUCCCCAUAUGUAGUUUGCCCCAUGUCAGUAGGCCCCCUUUGUAGGAUGUUAGCCCCUGUAGAUAGGAUCCUCUAAAAGUAGUUUUCCCCUGCCCCCAUAUAGGAAAGACCCCCACUGUAGAUAGUUUGCCCCCUGGAGGUAGUACACUCUUCCUCAGGAAGCUUCUUACUGCAGCCACUCGAUACUGGAAGCUGGGACAUCUGCCCAUGAGACAUGCACGGUUACAUCAAUCGUCAGAAGAAGUGACAUUUCUGGACUGUAAGUGCUGCAGGGCUGUGCCUGUGGCAUAGAGAACUUACUUCCUAGGACAUGCUAAGACCCCUGUGACAGGGGUAAACCACAGGGGUUCUAGAACCAUCAGUCACCAUCUUCCUCACCGAUCUGCUGCAGAACACCUGGCAGGUACCCGCAGCACACUUUUUGUUGACUACUUGUCUAGAACAUUCAUCUGUAGGCUCAAUUAAUUGUUAGCAGCAGACAAAAUUUCUUUCCUUUGACGACAAUUUGACACAAUGUAUCAAUGAAGGUAAAAUGUAUUAGCCUUCUCUCUCUCCCAAGACACUGCAUCAUCCUCUGCUGUCACAGGCAGUGUGGCUGGAUCUUGCCUCUAAGCAUAAAACAUGCCCCCGAGUGAUGUCAUCACCCCGGACCAGCCCCUGCAGCCUACAUUACCAACUCUGUAAAAAAAAUUAAAAAAAUAAUAUAUAUAUAUAUAU